RNAcentral lists this ribosomal RNA (405 nucleotides) under uncultured bacterium. RNAcentral describes it as "bacterial SSU rRNA". It matches the Rfam family "Bacterial small subunit ribosomal RNA", at positions 359 to 776 of the family's 1533-position model. The record is from RNAcentral.
GAAUAUUGCACAAUGGGCGAAAGCCUGAUGCAGCAACGCCGCGUGAGGGACGACGGCCUUCGGGUUGUAAACCUCUUUUAGUAGGGAAGAAGCGAAAGUGACGGUACCUGCAGAAAAAGCACCGGCUAACUACGUGCCCGCAGCCGCGGUAAUACGUAGGGUGCAAGCGUUGUCCGGAAUUAUUGGGCGGAAAGAGCUCGUAGGCGGUUUGUCGCGUCUGCUGUGAAAACUGGAGGCUCAACCUCCAGCCUGCAGUGGGUACGGGCAGACUAGAGUGCGGUAGGGGAGAUUGGAAUUCCUGGUGUAGCGGUGGAAUGCGCAGAUAUCAGGAGGAACACCGAUGGCGAAGGCAGAUCUCUGGGCCGUAACUGACGCUGAGGAGCGAAAGCGUGGGGAGCGAACAGG